AACACCUCAACUCCCCUUUCUUUUUUUUGAAAUGGGAGCUGGACUUGAGUGAUCCCAACGCUUUUCUCACCGAAAAGUGGCGGGUUACUUGAAAUGCAGGUGCAGCUGGACUUUUCUCUGAGCUAAAAGCAUAUCUAUUUAGUCUGCCUAAAAAACAGAUUAUUACCUUUGCUGCAGCUAACAUAAAGGAGAUUAGUUCUUGUGCUGACUGAUGCAGGAUUCACAGAGACAGCUUCGGCUGGCCUUUGUAA
This 251-nucleotide unclassified non-coding RNA is filed under the name uncultured Mortierella. RNAcentral describes it as "sequence contains ITS2". The record is from RNAcentral. Lineage: Eukaryota; Fungi; Mortierellomycota; Mortierellomycetes; Mortierellales; Mortierellaceae.